GAUGAAGAACGCAGCGAAAUGCGAUAAGUAAUGUGAAUUGCAGAAUUCAGUGAAUCAUCGAAUCUUUGAACGCACAUUGCGCCCUCUGGUAUUCCGGGGGGCAUGCCUGUUCGAGCGUCAUUAUAACCACUCAAGCUCUCGCUUGGUAUUGGGGUUCGCGGUUUCGCGGCCCCUAAAAUCAGUGGCGGUGCCUGUCGGCUCUACGCGUAGUAAUACUUCUCGCGAUUGAGUUCGAUAGGUCUACUUGCCAGUAACCCCCAAUUUUUACAGGUUGACCUCGGAUCAGGUAGGGAUACCCGCUGAACUUAAGCAUAUCAAUAAGCGGGA
Molecule: unclassified non-coding RNA, 327 nt
Filed under: soil metagenome
Description: partial contains 5.8S ribosomal RNA, internal transcribed spacer 2, and large subunit ribosomal RNA
Rfam family: 5.8S ribosomal RNA (bases 1-120)
Source: RNAcentral